GGGUUGUGAGGUUAAGCGACUAAGCGUACACGGUGGAUGCCCUGGCAGUCAGAGGCGAUGAAGGGCGUGCUAAUCUGCGAUAAGCGCCGGUAAGGUGAUAUGAACCGUUAUAACCGGCGAUACCCGAAUGGGGAAACCCAGUGUGACUCGUCACACUAUCAUUAACUGAAUCCAUAGGUUAAUGAGGCGAACCGGGGGAACUGAAACAUCUAAGUACCCCGAGGAAAAGAAAUCAACCGAGAUUCCCCCAGUAGCGGCGAGCGAACGGGGAGGAGCCCAGAGCCUGAAUCAGCAUGUGUGUUAGUGGAAGCGUCUGGAAAGGCGCGCGAUACAGGGUGACAGCCCCGUACACAAAAGCGCAUGUGCUGUGAGCUCGAUGAGUAGGGCGGGACACGUGGUAUCCUGUCUGAAUAUGGGGGGACCAUCCUCCAAGGCUAAAUACUCCUGACUGACCGAUAGUGAACCAGUACCGUGAGGGAAAGGCGAAAAGAACCCCGGCGAGGGGAGUGAAAAAGAACCUGAAACCGUGUACGUACAAGCAGUGGGAGCCCCACCACCAAAGCAUUCUCUGGUGUUGAAGGCCCUGCAAAGCAGCAUCGCGGUGGCGGAGCGUCGUUUGCGACGCCCAACACACAAAACAAGCGGUGAAUGCUUUGGGGUGGGGUGACUGCGUACCUUUUGUAUAAUGGGUCAGCGACUUAUAUUCUGUAGCAAGGUUAACCGAAUAGGGGAGCCGGAGGGAAACCGAGUCUUAAUUGGGCGUUAAGUUGCAGGGUAUAGACCCGAAACCCGGUGAUCUAGCCAUGGGCAGGUUGAAGGUUGGGUAACACUAACUGGAGGACCGAACCGACUAAUGUUGAAAAAUUAGCGGAUGACCUGUGGCUGGGGGUGAAAGGCCAAUCAAACCGGGAGAUAGCUGGUUCUCCCCGAAAGCUAUUUAGGUAGCGCCUCGUGAAUUCAUCUCCGGGGGUAGAGCACUGUUUCGGCUAGGGGGCCAUCCCGGCUUACCAACCCGAUGCAAACUGCGAAUACCGGAGAAUGUUAUCACGGGAGACACACGGCGGGUGCUAACGUCCGUCGUGAAGAGGGAAACAACCCAGACCGCCAGCUAAGGUCCCAAAGUCAUGGUUAAGUGGGAAACGAUGUGGGAAGGCCCAGACAGCCAGGAUGUUGGCUUAGAAGCAGCCAUCAUUUAAAGAAAGCGUAAUAGCUCACUGGUCGAGUCGGCCUGCGCGGAAGAUGUAACGGGGCUAAACCAUGCACCGAAGCUGCGGCAGCGAACGUAUCACCCAAGACAACUUUACGGAGUUGACGAUUGACGGAGCGAAGCGACGUCAAAGCGUUCAUUAAAGUCGAGUUGGCUUAGGGAUACGUUCGUUGGGUAGGGGAGCGUUCUGUAAGCCUGUGAAGGUGUGUCGUGAGGCAUGCUGGAGGUAUCAGAAGUGCGAAUGCUGACAUAAGUAACGAUAAAGCGGGUGAAAAGCCCGCUCGCCGGAAGACCAAGGGUUCCUGUCCAACGUUAAUCGGGGCAGGGUGAGUCGACCCCUAAGGCGAGGCCGAAAGGCGUAGUCGAUGGGAAACGGGUUAAUAUUCCCGUACUUGGUGUUACUGCGAAGGGGGGACGGAGAAGGCUAUGUUGGCCGGGCGACGGUUGUCCCGGUUUAAGCGUGUAGGUGUGUGUUCCAGGUAAAUCCGGUUCACUUUAACACUGAGGCGUGACGACGAGGCACUACGGUGCUGAAGCAACAAAUGCCCUGCUUCCAGGAAAAGCCUCUAAGCAUCAGGUAACACGAAA
RNAcentral lists this ribosomal RNA (1795 nucleotides) under Salmonella enterica. RNAcentral describes it as "partial 23S ribosomal RNA". It matches the Rfam family "Bacterial large subunit ribosomal RNA", at positions 1 to 1641 of the family's 2925-position model. The record is from RNAcentral. Lineage: Bacteria; Pseudomonadati; Pseudomonadota; Gammaproteobacteria; Enterobacterales; Enterobacteriaceae.